UGAGAGAGCCAGGUGUUCGCCGGAUGCAAUCGCAUCGGGAGGAAAGUCCGAGCUCACAAGGAUCACUGCGUGCUGGCUAACGGCCAGUGGGCGCGAGCCCGAGGAAAGUGCAACAGAGAAAGACCGUCCGACACGCGCGAGCGUUUUCGGGCUUAGGGUGAAACGGUGCGGUAAGAGCGCACCGCGUUGGCGGCGACGUCAACGGUCAGGCAAACCCCACGCAGAGCAAGAUCGAACAGAGAGACAGCGCGCUCAGCAAUGGGCCGCUCGGAGUCGUGAUCCACUUCGUGCGCUCUCGGGUACAGAUCGCUUGAGCCCGUCGGCAACGGCGGGCCUAGAUGAAUGAACAUCCGCUCCCACGGGGUGACCUUUGGGAGCAGACAGAACUCGGCUUAUCGGCCUCUCAACGU
RNAcentral lists this RNase P RNA (410 nucleotides) under Deltaproteobacteria bacterium. Its description in RNAcentral is "RNase P RNA component class A". It matches the Rfam family "Bacterial RNase P class A". Rfam says of the family: Ribonuclease P (RNase P) is a ubiquitous endoribonuclease, found in archaea, bacteria and eukarya as well as chloroplasts and mitochondria. The record is from RNAcentral. Lineage: Bacteria; Pseudomonadati; Myxococcota; Myxococcia.